RNAcentral lists this ribosomal RNA (446 nucleotides) under uncultured Leptolinea sp. RNAcentral's name for it is "bacterial SSU rRNA". It matches the Rfam family "Bacterial small subunit ribosomal RNA", at positions 923 to 1382 of the family's 1533-position model. The record is from RNAcentral. Lineage: Bacteria; Bacillati; Chloroflexota; Anaerolineae; Anaerolineales; Anaerolineaceae.
GCACAAGCAGCGGAGCGUGUGGUUUAAUUCGAUGUUACACGAAGAACCUUACCAGGGUUUGACAUGCAAGUGGUAGGAAGCCGAAAGGUGACCGACCCUUCGGGGAGCUUGCACAGGUGCUGCAUGGCUGUCGUCAGCUCGUGUCGUGAGAUGUUCGGUUAAGUCCGCUAACGAGCGCAACCCUCGCUGUGUGUUAUAUGUGUCACACGGGACUGCCGGUCUUAAGCCGGAGGAAGGUGGGGAUGAUGUCAAGUCAGCAUGGCCUUUAUAUCCUGGGCUACACACACGCUACAAUGGCCAACACAAUAGGUUGCUAAGCCGCGAGGUGGCGCCAAUCCAUAAAGCUGGUCUCAGUUCAGAUUGUAGGCUGCAACCCGCCUGCAUGAAGAUGGAGUUGCUAGUAACCGCAGGUCAGCUAUACUGCGGUGAAUACGUUCCCGGGGCUU